Molecule: ribosomal RNA, 211 nt
Filed under: uncultured bacterium
Lineage: Bacteria
Description: partial 16S ribosomal RNA
Rfam family: Bacterial small subunit ribosomal RNA
Source: RNAcentral
UACAGAGGAGCCAAGCGUUGUCCGGAUUGACUGGGCGUAAAGCGCACGCAGGCGGAUGCGCGCGUGGGGUGUGAAAUCUGGCCGCUUAACGGCCAGGCGCCAUCCCAUACGGCGCGUCUGGAGUGAUGCAGAGGUCGAUGGAAUUGCCGGUGUAGUGGUGAAAUGCGUAGAGAUCGGCAGGAACACCCAGGGGGAAACCAGUCGACUGGGC